UAUUAUUAUAAUUGUAAAUUUUUUUCUUGAGUAGUAUUAGUUAAGUUCUUAAAACUCAAAGGAUUUGGCGGUGUUUUAUUCUUUUCAGAGGAAUCUGUCCUAUAAUUGAUGAUACACAAUAUAAUUUACUUAAUUUUGUAUUUUCAGCUUGUAUACCUCCGUCAUAAGAUAUUCUUUUUAGAGUAAUAAUUUUCUUUAUAUUUGUAUUAAUAUAAUAUGUCAGGUCACGGUGCAGCUUAUAGUUAAGAAGAGAUGGAUUACAAUAAAAUUAUUUAUUACGGAUUUUUCUAUGAAAUUAGGAAAUCAAGGUGGAUUUGAAAGUAAUUUUAUUAAAUUAUGAUAAUUUGAUAUAGCUCUAAAACAUGUACACAUCGCCCGUCGCUCUCGUUAUAAGAUGAG
Molecule: ribosomal RNA, 399 nt
Filed under: Dolichocercus latipennis
Lineage: Eukaryota; Metazoa; Arthropoda; Insecta; Orthoptera; Tettigoniidae
Description: partial 12S ribosomal RNA
Source: RNAcentral